CGGUGGGAUUCACUCCUUCCCUCUCCAUCAGAUGACAGAGUAUCACGGGAUACAAGAUGCCGGAAGGAAGCCAGCCAAGCAGGAAAUAUUGUCUAUGGCCAUGUCACCGUGAGCACGACCUAUCUCACCUAAUAGGAAAUAUCAUCUCCUGGGAUUUUUUUAUGUGUGAGAAAAGAAGGCCAGAAGAGAGUAUUGG
Long non-coding RNA from Microtus oregoni (creeping vole), 196 nucleotides. RefSeq lists it as uncharacterized. The transcript has 3 exons. NCBI's taxonomy places the organism in Eukaryota, Metazoa, Chordata, Mammalia, Rodentia, Cricetidae. The record is from RefSeq and is a predicted model, not a curated record.